UACGAGGGGUGCAAACGUUAUUCGGAAUCACUGGGCGUAAAGGGUGUGUAGACGGCAAAACAAGUCAAUUAUUAAAUCUCCUAGCUUAACUAGGAAUCUGUGAUUGAAACUGUUUAGCUUGAGGAUGGAAGAGAGAAGCGGAAUUCUCGGAGUAGCGGUAAAAUGCGUAGAUCUCGAGAGGAACACCGAUGGCGAAGGCAGCUUCUUGGUCCAUUUCUGACGUUGAGGCACGAAAGCGUGGGGAGCAAACAGG
RNAcentral lists this ribosomal RNA (253 nucleotides) under uncultured bacterium. RNAcentral's name for it is "partial 16S ribosomal RNA". It matches the Rfam family "Bacterial small subunit ribosomal RNA", at positions 524 to 776 of the family's 1533-position model. The record is from RNAcentral.